UACGGAGGGGGCUAGCGUUGUUCGGAAUUACUGGGCGUAAAGCGCACGUAGGCGGCUUUGUAAGUUAGAGGUGAAAGCCCGGGGCUCAACUCCGGAAUUGCCUUUAAGACUGCAUCGCUAGAAUUGUGGAGAGGUAAGUGGAAUUCCGAGUGUAGAGGUGAAAUUCGUAGAUAUUGGGAAGAACACCGGUGGCGAAGGCGGCUCUCUGGACCGACACUGACGCUGAGGCGCGAAAGCGUGGGGAGCAAACAGG
Molecule: ribosomal RNA, 253 nt
Filed under: uncultured bacterium
Lineage: Bacteria
Description: partial 16S ribosomal RNA
Rfam family: Bacterial small subunit ribosomal RNA
Source: RNAcentral